GAGGACAGCUUGGUUGUCAUUAAAUGGCCAUUCAACUCAGAGCAGCAAAUCUCCAUUGUGGCUUGGAUGUUCUCUUCUCUGAUGGUAAUGCCUGGAGGAGAUCACUGGAAGCAUUUUUGUCUUCAUCAGGGCACUGAAACCUGCUUGAUUCUCUGAUUCUCUGGAAGGGACCCUCAAAGGUCAUCUUUGUCCAGCCCCCUGCAAUCAUCAGGGACAUCUCUAACUAGAGCAGGUUGCUCAGAGCCCCAUCAAGUCUGACUUGAUGCAGUCAGCAGUGAAACAGAAACCUCUGAAGGGAAAAAAAAAUGCCUCUUCUGGCCGUGCCAGAUCUUCCUGCCUGACUUCUGGCUGAAUGGUUUAAUGCUAUGUUGCCAAGCAAGCUUUCAUCUGCUCUUUGAGUCUUCUUCCUCUAAU
Molecule: long non-coding RNA, 414 nt
Organism: Pogoniulus pusillus (Red-fronted tinkerbird)
Lineage: Eukaryota; Metazoa; Chordata; Aves; Piciformes; Lybiidae
Exons: 3
Source: RefSeq, a predicted model, not a curated record